Molecule: long non-coding RNA, 5912 nt
Organism: Phycodurus eques (leafy seadragon)
Lineage: Eukaryota; Metazoa; Chordata; Actinopteri; Syngnathiformes; Syngnathidae
Exons: 3
Source: RefSeq, a predicted model, not a curated record
UCGAGAUCAUGCGCCUGGUCGCUCGGUGUGCUGCUGACUUAAAGGGGAAGUUUGUUGUUGUUUUUUUUGUGUGUUUUUUUUUAACCAUUGUGCCCAAGGAAGAGCAACAAAUCAGAGACAGAAGGUGUGCCCUGUGGGGGUAUCACACUGACCUGUUGGCUUGUGCUUCAGCAGCCAUGCUGGAACUAUUUUGGAAUAUGCCCUGAUGGGGGAAAAAAAAAUGCUCAUUCCUCAUUUACUAACAACUGGGAAAGACUACCAAACAGAAGCAAAGCAACAGGACCUCAGGCACCUGAGAGGAUUCAGAAGCCACACAGAAUUAGCAUUAUUUCUGUUUGACAGGUAUGUUUUUCACCUCUUUUUAAUUUUUAAUUGAUUGUACAUUCCAAAAAUAACCCACAUUCAAACCGAUACAUUUAGUGUUAUAGUAACACUCCAUUACUUAUGUCAUUCUACUUCUCUGCUAACAUUGUAUUGUUUUACAGAAUUAAUGCCAGCAUAGUAUUGCUAGCACUGUUAUUUUGUUGAAGCGUUCUCUGACUAUUUAUCACAACCAUGUGUAAGAAUUACACUCGAGCACAUCAGUGAGGGGUGUGGCAGAUCCAAAAAGGUGGAGGGAUUCGUGAAGUGAGGCUACAUUCAAAUCUUGCUAUCAGUUUUUAAAUUCCAAACUCCCUCUUCAAUAUUGCAGCUUAAUCUUUUAUUGUUAGUUUUUUUCCCCCCCACUUUUUGCUUUUUCAGUGUGGCCCUAACACACCUUUGUAUCAUUUCAUAUUGCUACACUGGAUUUAUCCGAGACUCCUUAUACAGUCCCUCUGACUCACAGAACAGGAUAAGCAGUUGAGAAAAUGGAUAUACGGUAUACAAAAAACAAAACAAAAAAACAGAGAAGAAGAAACAAAGCUGAGGUGACCUUUCACCUUUUGGAAUCUUCUCAAGGCUAAUGAGUACAACAGACCAUGUGGACAGAGCCAAAACACUUCCUGGUGCGGGAUGCUGAGAGGAAAUCUUUAUUUGGAUCUUACAAAACAAAGAGUGCUAGAGGUCAGAGCCGAACACAGGGGCUGUUUGGGUUCAAGAGUGUGGCCAAAGACAAUCAACAGUUCCACCAGGUGGGGGCAAUUAUUGUUAAAAAUGCUUCAAGAUGAGAGUAACACAAACAAACUGCACUCAGAAACGUGUGAGUAUUUUAUUUAAUGCAAUGGUUGUCUUUGCGAUAAAGGAAUUCAGGUUCUGGUCUGAGCUGCUGUUGCAGUUUUUGUCUCAACUGUUGUCACAGUGGGACCCAUAUUUCCCUUUUGUUGCAAAGUCGUGACCCACUUUUAUAGAAGUGAACAACAAUAAAGAAAUUGUAUUGUUUAAAAAUAGCCUGAAUAUUUUUAAGCGUAACUACACUGUGCUCACUUAGUUUUCUUUAAUGAUGUAGUGAUGUUCAUGAGAUGCCAUUUUACAAGUUUGACACACACAUUGCCAUGGUAUUUAACCCCUGACUCCUGCCCCCUAACUCUCUUGGUUCUUCGCUUUGCCUUGCUUCAUGGCUCUUGCUAUCAGCACCCUAGCUACGGGGCAGCCUUUGACCACCCAUGCCCGCCUCCCCUUCCUUCCUUGGGGAAGGGGACUCGGCUUCCCAGCCUCUACGUGGGCCACCGCUAGGCAAUCGGAGCAGCUGCUACUAAAAGUACCAGGUACGCUUCCAGCCAAGCAUGAUCUCUCUGAAAUUGCUAGCGAGUCCCUGAAAAGGCAGGAAGAGAAACAGUCGCAACCUCCCACAGAAUGUGCGAACAACAACUUCUGUCCCCUUUUCCGUCUGUUUUUGUUUUAUUUUUUUGUGCAUCUUUUUCUUUAACGAAACCUACCUCCUCGCCUCCUGAGACGCACUCAGAAAGACCACUCCCAGAGACCAGCUGAUCUACAUUCGUGAGUAGACAUUGCAAUUGUCGCCAGCAUGUACAUGUUUAGUGCCUAAUAACUUGGGGGAAAUUACUAGCAUCACACAAAAUCCCUCUCUCUCGCUCUCUCUGACUCAACGCAUUAAACGCUCACAUUCACAUCUUUAGCCCAGCAGCUCACGAUGUCCUAUAUUUCUUCUUUCACCAGAAUUCGUGUUAUUUUCUUCCUGUAGUCAGCCUUUUGUUUUUCCCUCUAGACCCCUCGUAGAUUUCAUUAAAUAUUCUAUAAAAAUCCACUCUUGGUUGUGUUUUAUGUGUGUUUUGAGUUUAAGUAAGCCUCUGUCAUCUAGAACUCGUAUUUCAUAAAAUGGAGCAACCUUUAGAUUAUGAGACGGAUAAAAGGUUUGUCGUCGCUUUCUCCUAAAUUGUAUUCACAUAAAAAUUGACGUGGUUCCCCUUUAUAAGACAAAUUAGUUUUAUUAUAACGUUAAAAGCGUCAAUCGGACUAACCCGAAAGUUUUUCCAAAUUAAUUACAUUUUUAUUUAAAUCAAUAUACACUACAACAGUGACCAAACCAAAAAACAUGAAAGUGAUUCCGUACGUGGGAUGAUGCUCCACCCCCAAAAGUUACCAACAUUUUCUUUGGGGUAGAAGCAGAUGCCAACAUACACUGCAGGAUUUUUUUUUCCCACCUGCAAAACAAAGGAUAAAUCACCGCCUGUGGUGGAUGCGCAGACGCGUUGCGCACUAAGUCAAAAUGGCUGUGCCCAUAAACACAUGGAGGUAAACAACUGGAAUAUUUUUUAUUUUUUUUUGAAGUGCAGCAGUUGCAGCUCUCGUCAAAAUAAAGUAGUAUGCUCUAUGAGUCAUUCUGAUUCAAAGGUGACAUUUUUGAUUUGGCGUUCGUUUUCAUUUUUCACUCGCGUGUUGACUCGACUCACCACUGAAUCGUUCGUAGCUCUCAAUAUAUGUACAUAUGCAGUAUACAUAUAUACUGUAUAUACACACGCACAUCUAUAUGCAUAUAUAAAACAAUCAAAUUCAAAACAGUAAGUAAGGCAGUAACUGAGUUUGCCUUUUUGAGCUGUGUGACAACAUAUUCGUAUGCCACUGCUCUAAAUAGUUCAUUGUGUGCCGUUUAGAACCGCCGUAAACCGUGGAGCCCCUUUAAUAUUUUCCUAGCUGUCCGUGACCCACUUUUUGGUUCCGCCCCACUGGCUGAGGAUCACUGCUCUACCACACAUACAGUACAUGUGACUUGGGCAUCUGCAGGUGAUUGUUUUUCAAUUGUCUCUAACAGCACAGGCGCUGAACCCACACACGUCAAUUCCAGGAAUCAGUGUUUUGGGAGGAGAAGAGCGAUUGUGUCAUUAGUGGAAAUGAGCCUGUGCUAUGCCCAAACAAGCCCUGUAGAGCACAAACAACUUCUGCACAAGUUUAAGCUGUCGCAGGAAAUCCAGAGACGGCAGCGGCAGCCUAAAGCCGACACAUUUUUGGGCCUCUGUGUGUGUCUUUUAUUGCUGCACAUCUGAACAAGCUUUUUUUUCAUUGGACAAUAUCCCAUUUUCCCACAUGCGUUUAGGAAAUUUCUAGCGUGGGUUUUCUUCCCUGUAAGACAAGUCUUCCAUCAGUCAGGAGAUUGUUGUCACUUACUCGACAAAACGGCCAGUACUUGCCAGAAAUUCUUGCAGGUCCUUGUAUGUUGCUGUCGGCCUCUUGGCAGCAUCCCUGACCAGUUUUCUUCUCAUCUUUUCAUUAAUUCCAGUCCACUUCUUCGUAAUGUCAUAGUUUUGCAAUAUUUUCUCCCUUUGAUUAUGACUGUCUUCAUUGUGUUCCAUGGUAUAUCUAAUGCCUUGGCAACUCUUUUGUGCACUUUUCCUGACUGAUACCUUUGAAAAAUGAAAUCCCCCUGAGAGGAUCAGAUGCACUUUAAAUGGUGGCAAAUGUGUGCUGACUCCCGUUCAACAUGAGUUUGAAUGCGAUUUGUUAAUUCUGUGUGCGCACACUUGUGCAACCACAUUAUUUCUGUUUUUGAUUUUUACUUCCCUCUCUCUAAAAUAUUUUAAAAUUGAGUUCUACAGGUUAAAGGUCACAUUAAUGGUCGGAAAAGCUUUGAAAUCAUAUAUCUGUGUCUCAUUUCUUUCUAUCACAGAAGCCUGGCAUUUGAACAGGAUAGUGUAGACUUUUUACAUCCACUUUAUUUGCAUGGUCUCUGGAGGUUGGUAUGCUAUUCUGCGAUGCAUUUUAUGCUGAUCGGCUGUUGGGCUUUAAUGUCAUAAUUUGCCGAUCCAAUCAAUUAUGUCAUUGAUCGGCUCCGCAAAAGACAUUUACUCCGUGUCGCCAUCGUGUACAGUAUAUAUGAAUCCAAAAGCUAGUUUAUUUUUAGCCUUGUCGUGUGUCUUUUGAUGUAGUGCUGUAAAUAUCUGACAACCAAUAGUUAUUUAAAAAAAAAAAAAAAAAAAAAACAUGUCGACAGUGUGGCACAGACAACACGUCUGAGACAGACAACACGUAAUGCAUGGAUCAGACUACAAGACAAAUUUGGUCUUUCACGAUUGCACUAUGUCAGGCGACUAAAAUGUUGUAUUCCGAUACCACCACAUCCCGUCUUUUACGAUCACUGGGCUUUAUAUUGUCAACUCAAAUGCGACCGGGUACACUCAUGACCACAACAACAACAAUUGAUCGUGUCGUGUGUAUUAUAAGAAGAAUCCAUCCAUCCAUUUUCUACCGCUUAUCCGAGGUCGGGUCGCGGGGGCAGUAGCUUUAGCAAGGACGCCCAGACUUCCCUCUCCCCAGCCACUUCAUCCAGCUCUUCCGGUGGGAUCCCGAAGUGUUCCCAGGCCAGCCGAAAGACGUAGUCUCUCCAGCGUGUCCUGGGUCGUCCCCGGUGUCUCCUCCCGGUGGGACGUGCCCGGAACACCUCACCGGGGAGGUGUCCGGGAGGCAUCCGAAUCAGAUGCCCCAGCCACCUCAUCUGGCUCCUCUCAAUGUGGAGGAGCAGCGGCUCUACUCUGAGAUCCUCCCGGAUGACUGAGCUUCUCACCCUCUAUAUAAUACUGUAAUCAUUUAUGUACAAAUAUUUUAAUGAAAUACCUUUAUGAAAUUGACAAUUAUUUGGUUCAACAUAAAUAGUUUGAGAUGGGUUUUUUUCAAAUGUUUCAACUUGAAAUUUGUGAUUGUUCUAAUUUUUUGUGUAGUGUGUACUGGCGUCUGUGGGCCUCAACCACUUGUAGCAGGUAUUGUCACUGUUCUUCUUGUUUACCAUUCGCAACAUCAAACAGUUUUUGCAUUUUUCCUGAAAUGCACUUCUCGUAACUUCUACCUGUCCAAAUUUUCUUGCUUUGUUUUUCUCAAUCUCUUCUUUCAUAGUAUAGUCUUUCAAUUUUGAGAAUUCUGUGCUAGGCAUCUAUUACAGGAAUUAUAGCAUUCUACCAAAAAGUCAAAAUUUCCCCAUCAAUUGUUUCAGUUUCUCUUAAAUUCUUUUUGUUUUUGCGAAUGAUGUAGAUGGGCCUCCAAACCGUUCACCGCUUUAUACCAUUUCAAGCCUGUUCAUUGGACUUGAACUCGAAAUUUUCAAUUUUUUAAUUGAAAGUGAAGUACUUCAAGUCUAAUGAAUAGCCACAUGGUAACUUCCAUAUCAGAGAUGGGAAGAACUUUCAGACAAAUAUUCGAUUUCCAUUUUUCAAGUGUGUUCAGCUGUUAUAUCUGCCCAAGGUGGCUACAUUGAGUCAAAGGUUUAGAAUACGUUUUUGUUUUUAGAUUGAUUCCAUAACUUUAUUUUUUUACUUGAAUAGUUUAUUUGUUCUGUGAGUUCAUUUCAGAGUAAAAUGAGAAAUUAAACUGCAUUGAGGACUCUUAGUGUCUUUACAAGGUGGCAGAUUUAUUUAUUGUACUGCCACUUCACAGAGCACAUGUCCCAUGUUAAAAAUGUUGAGGAAAGUUACUCUGCUGAUUUUAAGAAGAACGUGAUCACUGUUGCCAUCAGAAGGGUAACAGCUUGGUGGUUUGACAUAAAGCUA